Molecule: unclassified non-coding RNA, 324 nt
Organism: Otolemur garnettii (small-eared galago)
Lineage: Eukaryota; Metazoa; Chordata; Mammalia; Primates; Galagidae
Gene: 7SK
Rfam family: 7SK RNA
About the family: 7SK was discovered as an abundant small nuclear RNA in the mid-70s but a possible function has only recently been suggested. Two independent studies have found that 7SK RNA binds the CDK9/cyclin T complex (known as elongation factor P-TEFb). P-TEFb activates transcription by phosphorylating the C-terminal domain of RNA polymerase II.
Source: Ensembl
AGGUAUGAAUAUGGUCUGGCUGUAACUUCUGUCACCCCAUGAUUGGGGGUUGAUUUGGCUGAUCGGGCUGGCUAGGCUGGUGCCCCCUUCCUCCCUCCCUGCACCUCCCCUCCUGAAGGUGCCUUCUCAGUGGAAGACGAUGACCUUCCCCAAAGGAGGAUGACCUUCCCCAACAGAGGAGGUCAAGCAUAUAUAAGCAGCUGUGCUCCCCUUCUAAAACCUCCAAACAAGUUCUCAAACAACAAAUAGUAGACUGAAUUUGGCUUGCAGGCUGUCAUUAGCCUAAAUAGCAGAAGAGGAGAUUGAUGUGAGGAUUUUUUAUUU